UUAUUUGAGAGUUUGAUCCUGGCUCAGGAUGAACGCUGGCGGCGUGCCUAAUACAUGCAAGUCGAGCGAAUGGAUUAAGAGCUUGCUCUUAUGAAGUUAGCGGCGGACGGGUGAGUAACACGUGGGUAACCUGCCCAUAAGACUGGGAUAACUCCGGGAAACCGGGGCUAAUACCGGAUAACAUUUUGAACCGCAUGGUUCGAAAUUGAAAGGCGGCUUCGGCUGUCACUUAUGGAUGGACCCGCGUCGCAUUAGCUAGUUGGUGAGGUAACGGCUCACCAAGGCAACGAUGCGUAGCCGACCUGAGAGGGUGAUCGGCCACACUGGGACUGAGACACGGCCCAGACUCCU
This 351-nucleotide ribosomal RNA is filed under the name Bacillus anthracis str. 95014. RNAcentral describes it as "bacterial SSU rRNA". It matches the Rfam family "Bacterial small subunit ribosomal RNA", at positions 1 to 340 of the family's 1533-position model. Lineage: Bacteria; Bacillati; Bacillota; Bacilli; Caryophanales; Bacillaceae. The record is from RNAcentral.